This 794-nucleotide ribosomal RNA is filed under the name uncultured archaeon. RNAcentral describes it as "bacterial SSU rRNA". It matches the Rfam family "Archaeal small subunit ribosomal RNA", at positions 85 to 876 of the family's 1478-position model. The record is from RNAcentral.
ACUGCUCAGUAACACGUAGAUAACCUGCCCUUGGGUCCGGCAUAACCCCGGGAAACUGGGGAUAAUUCCGGAUAACGCACAUAUGCUGGAAUGCUUUAUGCGUAAAAUGGAUUCGUCUGCCCAAGGAUGGGUCUGCGGCCUAUCAGGUAGUAGUGGGUGUAAUGUACCUAUUAGCCUACAACGGGUACGGGUUGUGAGAGCAAGAGCCCGGAGAUGGAUUCUGAGACAUGAAUCCAGGCCCUACGGGGCGCAGCAGGCGCGAAAACUUUACAAUGCGGGAAACCGUGAUAAGGGGACACCGAGUGCCAGCAUCAUAUGCUGGCUGUCCAGGUGUGUAAAAUACACCUGUUAGCAAGGGCCGGGCAAGACCGGUGCCAGCCGCCGCGGUAACACCGGCGGCCCGAGUGGUGAUCGUGAUUAUUGGGUCUAAAGGGUCCGUAGCCGGUUUGGUCAGUCCUCCGGGAAAUCUGACGGCUCAACCGUUAGGCUUUCGGGGGAUACUGCCAGGCUUGGAACCGGGAGAGGUAAGAGGUACUACAGGGGUAGGAGUGAAAUCUUGUAAUCCCUGUGGGGCCACCUGUGGCGAAGGCGUCUUACCAGAACGGGUUCGACGGUGAGGGACGAAAGCUGGGGGGCACGAACCGGAUUAGAUACCCGGGUAGUCCCAGCCGUAAACGAUGCUCGCUAGGUGUCAGGCAUGGCGCGACCGUGUCUGGUGCCGCAGGGAAGCCGUGAAGCGAGCCACCUGGGAAGUACGGCCGCAAGGCUGAAACUUAAAGGAAUUGGCGGGGGAG